Molecule: ribosomal RNA, 252 nt
Filed under: uncultured bacterium
Lineage: Bacteria
Description: partial 16S ribosomal RNA
Rfam family: Bacterial small subunit ribosomal RNA
Source: RNAcentral
UACGUAGGGUGCGAGCGUUAAUCGGAAUUACUGGGCGUAAGCGUGCGCAGGCGGCGCUGCAAGUCGAGUGUGAAAUCCCCGAGCUUAACUUGGGAAUUGCCAUUGAUACUAUCUGUCUUGAAUGUUCUGGAGGUGAGCGGAAUAUGUCAUGUAGCGGUGAAAUGCUUAGAUAUGACAUAGAACACCAAUUGCGAAGGCAGCUCACUACGGGAUUAUUGACACUGAGGCACGAAAGCGUGGGGAUCAAACAGG